CCUACGGGGGGCAGCAGUGAGGAAUAUUGGUCAAUGGACGAGAGUCUGAACCAGCCAAGUAGCGUGAAGGAUGACUGCCCUAUGGGUUGUAAACUUCUUUUAUAUGGGAAUAAAAUGUUCCACGUGUGGGUUUUUGUAUGUACCAUAUGAAUAAGGAUCGGCUAACCUCGCGCCAUCAGCCGCGGGAAUACGGUGGAUCCGAGCGUUACCCGGAUUUAUUGGGUUUAAAGGGAGCGUAGGUGGGUUGUUAAGUCAGUUGUGAAAGUUUGCGGCUCAACCGUAAAAUUGCAGUUGAAACUGGCAGUCUUGAGUAGAGGAGAGGUGGGCGGAAUGCGUGGUGUAGCGGUGAAAUGCUUAGAUAUCACGAAGAACUCCGAUUGCGAAGGCAGCUCACUGGACUGCAACUGACGCUGAGGCUCGAAAGUGUGGGUAUCGAACAGGAUUAGAUACCCGAGUAGUC
This 460-nucleotide ribosomal RNA is filed under the name uncultured bacterium. RNAcentral's name for it is "partial 16S ribosomal RNA". It matches the Rfam family "Bacterial small subunit ribosomal RNA", at positions 338 to 795 of the family's 1533-position model. The record is from RNAcentral.